UACGGAGGGGGCUAGCGUUGUUCGGAAUUACUGGGCGUAAAGCGCACGUAGGCGGCUUUGUAAGUUAGAGGUGAAAGCCCAGGGCUUAACCCUGGAAUUGCCUUUAAGACUGCAUCGCUAGAAUCGUGGAGAGGUGAGUGGAAUUCCGAGUGUAGAGGUGAAAUUCGUAGAUAUUCGGAAGAACACCAGUGGCGAAGGCGACUCACUGGACACGUAUUGACGCUGAGGUGCGAAAAGCGUGGGGAGCAAACAGGG
Molecule: ribosomal RNA, 255 nt
Filed under: uncultured bacterium
Lineage: Bacteria
Description: partial 16S ribosomal RNA
Rfam family: Bacterial small subunit ribosomal RNA
Source: RNAcentral